This 1582-nucleotide long non-coding RNA is filed under the name Dermacentor andersoni. Its description in RNAcentral is "uncharacterized LOC126536006". Lineage: Eukaryota; Metazoa; Arthropoda; Arachnida; Ixodida; Ixodidae. The record is from RNAcentral.
UUCCGCGGCGGUCAAGGCGAAGCAGGUGGAUGGAAAGAAUGUCACAUGCCUCUCCCGCGCAUGCGCACAAAUUCGACAGUUGGCCGAGUCGAGGCAAAGAGGAAGACCAUCGCAAUCGCUAUCAGUUCCUUUGCGACGCCGGCAUGGUACGGUCGAGCGAUGUAGGUGUUUCGUGGCGUAUUGUAGCAGCAAUCUAGCUAUUUUUGCUGCUAUUUAUGCUUAUGCUGUGUUGUGGCUAAUUCAUCGAUGCAAGCCAACCAGCAAGGUGUUUGCGAAGCGCACGGUGCUUUCUUCGUUCCGUGAUGUGAGCGUUUCUGCAACUUCUCUGCCAGCUGCGAUGCAGUGUCGUGUGAAGUGAUUUAAUAUUGGCACUGACCGUGUUUUAAACUGCACAAAUAGCGAACAGCUGUUCCUCAAGACUGCUAUGCGCCGAAGUUUUCUCUAUCUCCAAAUUAUAUUAAAAACUGCCCCGCGUCAUGGGGUUCGCUUGAAGUUGCUAUAAACACGAAGCGUACAAAUACUUCGUUUUCACAGCGUUCGCAAUGACCUAAGGUCUGGUAAAUAUUGUCUGAUCAUGAACUCAUUCUUUGCUCUUUCCUACUCUGGCUGCACAGGAUGAGAAACAGUAAAAUAUUGAGCGUAUAGCUUCACGGUUCACAAUUACAUAUUUUUCAGCGAACCGGUUCACAAUGACAUAGGUUGCACUGGAUAGACAAGUGCGAAUGUGAAAGAAAAUCAUUCGCACCUGUUUAACCACUGCAACCUAUGUCAUUGUGAAGCGGUAUAUUUUGACACUGACAUUUUGUUUUCGAGUAAAAAUAAACGAACACGUCAAAUUACAGAAGCGUUCCAUAUAAUGUGUGCUUAAAUAUGCAUCAGUCAGCCAUUGGUUGCUAUCACUGACAAAGCAUUUGUAUUCUUGAAUACUGCUUCAAGCUCUGUCAUCUGUUUAUAUAAAAAUGGAUGACACGUUUUGCACAUGCUCGGUGCAGCUAGCUGGCGCUGUUACGUUCAUUCCUUCCAAAAAUAACUAGCUUUGAGUAAGCGCUCGCGUGUCCACCUUCUCUGCGUCCGUGUCUAUUGUGCGUGCUACGAAUUUCACCAUGAAUAAACCAUGUAAUUAACUUUUUAGUGAGUAACUCAUUUAUGCAAGUAAUUGGUAGACAAACCCAUUUUGUACACUUUCCGAAUUUUAAUAACACGUAGUAAAUACAACGCAGCAAAGGAUAUGCAUUGAAUAGUGUGCCCCAUCCUUGCCAUCUCCUCUGCAAGUAAACAGGGAUGACGGUCACAAUUUUAGCAUUCAUGUGAACCUCAAAAAGCUGUUCUAUGUAUGUGAUAUGCUAACCUGAACAUGAUGUUAACACUGACCAUCUUGUUUCUGUGCAGGGUUGGUUCAUUCUGCAAGCAUUCUGAGACAUCAGCUUGCAUAAUCGAUGCUUGCUAGAGAUUAUGCGACAGCUGCCAUGCCGUAAUCAACUAAGUCAUUAUUCAUUUUUUUAAAUUUCUCUACUAUUCUCUACUACUUCUCUCACAAUUCUGUGUAAAUAUUUUCGUGUGAAUAAACUUCUUUCAGUGCAAA